This 456-nucleotide ribosomal RNA is filed under the name uncultured bacterium. RNAcentral describes it as "bacterial SSU rRNA". It matches the Rfam family "Bacterial small subunit ribosomal RNA", at positions 340 to 786 of the family's 1533-position model. The record is from RNAcentral.
UACGGGAGGCAGCAGUGGGGAAUAUUGCACAAUGGGCGAAAGCCUGAUGCAGCUAUGCCGCGUGUAUGAAGAAGGCCUUAGGGUUGUAAAGUACUUUCAUCGGGGAGGAAAAAACAAAACUAAUAAUUUUAUUUCUUGACGUUACCCGAAAAAGAAGCACCGGCUAACUCCGUGCCAGCAGCCGCGGUAAUGCGGAGGGUGCUAGCGUUAAUCAGAAUUACUGGGCGUAAAGAGCACGUAGGUGGUUUUUUUAAGUCAGAUGUGAAAUCCCUGGGCUUAACCUAGGAACUGCAUUUUGAAACUGAAAUACUAGAGUAUCGUAGAGGGAGGUAGAAUUCUAGGUGUAGCGGUGAAAUGCGUAGAUAUCUGGAGGAAUACCUGUGGCGAAAGCGGCCUCCUAAACGAAUACUGACACUGAGGUGCGAAAGCGUGGGGAGCAAACAGGGAUUAGAUACC